CGGACGGGUGAGUAAUGUCUGGGAAACUGCCUGAUGGAGGGGGGUAACUACUGGAAACGGUAGCUAUACCGCAUAACGUCGCAAGACCAAAGAGGGGGACCUUCGGGCCUCUUGCCAUCGGAUGUGCCCAGAUGGGAUUAGCUAGUAGGUGGGGUAAAGGCUCACCUAGGCGACGAUCCCUAGCUGGUCUGAGAGGAUGACCAGCCACACUGGAACUGAGACACGGUCCAG
Molecule: ribosomal RNA, 231 nt
Filed under: uncultured bacterium
Lineage: Bacteria
Description: partial 16S ribosomal RNA
Rfam family: Bacterial small subunit ribosomal RNA
Source: RNAcentral